UACAGAGGUCUCAAGCGUUGUUCGGAUUCAUUGGGCGUAAAGGGUGCGUAGGUGGCGGGGUAAGUCAGGUGUGAAAUUUCGGAGCUCAACUCCGAAACUGCAUUGGAUACUAUCCGGCUCGAGGAAUGGAGGGGAGACUGGAAUACUUGGUGUAGCAGUGAAAUGCGUAGAUAUCAAGUGGAACACCAGUGGCGAAGGCGAGUCUCUAGACAUUUCCUGACGCUGAGGAGCGAAAGCGUGGGGAGCGAACAGG
Molecule: ribosomal RNA, 253 nt
Filed under: uncultured bacterium
Lineage: Bacteria
Description: partial 16S ribosomal RNA
Rfam family: Bacterial small subunit ribosomal RNA
Source: RNAcentral